RNAcentral lists this ribosomal RNA (828 nucleotides) under uncultured bacterium. Its description in RNAcentral is "bacterial SSU rRNA". It matches the Rfam family "Bacterial small subunit ribosomal RNA", at positions 70 to 894 of the family's 1533-position model. The record is from RNAcentral.
GAGAAGCACUUCGGUGUGAGUAGAGCGGCGGACGGGUGAGUAACGCGUAGGAAUCUACCCAGUAGUGGGGGACAACAGUUGGAAACAGCUGCUAAUACCGCAUACGCCCUAUGGGGGAAAGCGGGGGAUCUUCGGACCUCGCGCUAUUGGAUGAGCCUGCGUCGGAUUAGCUUGUUGGUGGGGUAAAAGCCUACCAAGGCGACGAUCCGUAGCUGGUCUGAGAGGAUGAUCAGCCACACUGGAACUGAGACACGGUCCAGACUCCUACGGGAGGCAGCAGUGGGGAAUAUUGCGCAAUGGGCGAAAGCCUGACGCAGCCAUGCCGCGUGUGUGAAGAAGGCCUUAGGGUUGUAAAGCACUUUCAAUAGAGAGGAAAAGCUUGUCGUUAAUACCGGCAAGCCCUGACGUUACCUAUAGAAGAAGCACCGGCUAACUCCGUGCCAGCAGCCGCGGUAAUACGGAGGGUGCGAGCGUUAAUCGGAAUUACUGGGCGUAAAGCGCGCGUAGGCGGUUUGUUAAGUCGGAUGUGAAAUCCCCGGGCUCAACCUGGGAACUGCACCCGAUACUGGCCGACUAGAGUACGAGAGAGGGAGGUAGAAUUCCACGUGUAGCGGUGAAAUGCGUAGAUAUGUGGAGGAAUACCAGUGGCGAAGGCGGCCUCCUGGCUCGAUACUGACGCUGAGGUGCGAAAGCGUGGGGGAGCAAACAGGAUUAGAUACCCUGGUAGUCCACGCCGUAAACGAUGUCUACUAGCCGUUGGGAGACUUGAUUUCCUAGUGGCGCAGCUAACGCACUAAGUAGACCGCCUGGGGAGUACGGCCGCAAGGU